Non-coding RNA from Merluccius polli (Benguela hake), 82 nucleotides. The record is from the annotation of a GenBank genome assembly. NCBI's taxonomy places the organism in Eukaryota, Metazoa, Chordata, Actinopteri, Gadiformes, Merlucciidae.
GGGAAGGAUGGUCUAGUGGUUGGGGGGGGUUUGACUCCCAGCCAAAAGGUUCUGGGUUCGAACCCCUGUCCACAGUCUCCCU